Gadus chalcogrammus (walleye pollock) is the source of this 414-nucleotide long non-coding RNA. RefSeq lists it as uncharacterized. NCBI's taxonomy places the organism in Eukaryota, Metazoa, Chordata, Actinopteri, Gadiformes, Gadidae. The record is from RefSeq and is a predicted model, not a curated record. The transcript is spliced from 3 exons.
CUGCGUGUGAAGGUGUUAAGCGGAGGAAGUCUUUCAAUGCUGUUUGUUUUCUGUUCAGCUCGCUGCAUUAACUGGAACCACAGACUAGAUGUCAGACCAGCUUCCUCCUCUACAUGUGAUUAAGAAUCCCCCAGAACAACAUAGUGAGAGAAGAAAGGACUCACUAUGAAUUUAAGAUCAGCAGCAAGAGGAUUUCUAGCUUUCCUUCUGUCAGUACCAGUGCUUCAGGGUAAUGAUGACUGGAGAGUUACGUACUCAUCUAGUAAUGUAUGCGCUUUAAGAGGAGCAAUGGUUGACAUCAACUGCACUUAUGAAUACCCUGACAAAGUACAAUACCGCCCUAACACAGUCAGAACACUGUGGUUUACUAAAGGAAACAAGUAUCCUGUUGAUCUGGAAAACGAUACAGACUAU